AACGGCGAGUGAAGCGGCAACAGCUCAAAUUUGAAAUCUGGCCCUCGGGUCCGAGUUGUAAUUUGUAGAGGAUGCUUUUGGUGAGGUGCCUUCCGAGUUCCCUGGAACGGGACGCCAUAGAGGGUGAGAGCCCCGUCUGGUCGGACACUGAUCCUCUGUAAAGCUCCUUCGACGAGUCGAGUAGUUUGGGAAUGCUGCUCUAAAUGGGAGGUAUAUGUCUUCUAAAGCUAAAUACCGGCCAGAGACCGAUAGCGCACAAGUAGAGUGAUCGAAAGAUGAAAAGCACUUUGAAAAGAGAGUUAAAAAGUACGUAAAUUGUUGAAAGGGAAGCGCUCAUGACCAGACUUGGGCUUGGUUGAUCAUCGGGAGUUCUCUCCCGUGCACUCUUCCUCGUUCAGGCCAGCAUCAGUUCGCUGCGGGGGAUAAAAGCUUCGGGAAUGUGGCUCCCUCGGGAGUGUUAUAGCCCGUUGCAUAAUACCCUGCGGUGGACUGAGGUCCGCGUUCUGCAAGGAUGCUGGCGUAAUGGUCAUCAGUGACCCGUCUUGAAACACGGACCAAGGAGUCGUCUUCGUAUGCGAGUGUUCGGGUGUUAAACCCCUACGCGUAAUGAAAGUGAACGCAGGUGAGAGCUUCGGCGCAUCAU
This 643-nucleotide ribosomal RNA is filed under the name Neonectria sp. CS-2010. Its description in RNAcentral is "LSU rRNA". It matches the Rfam family "Eukaryotic large subunit ribosomal RNA", at positions 85 to 761 of the family's 3401-position model. The record is from RNAcentral. Lineage: Eukaryota; Fungi; Ascomycota; Sordariomycetes; Hypocreales; Nectriaceae.